This 433-nucleotide ribosomal RNA is filed under the name uncultured bacterium. RNAcentral's name for it is "partial 16S ribosomal RNA". It matches the Rfam family "Bacterial small subunit ribosomal RNA", at positions 29 to 507 of the family's 1533-position model. The record is from RNAcentral.
AACGAACGCUGGCGGCAUGCCUAACACAUGCAAGUCGAACGAGACCUUCGGGUCUAGUGGCGCACGGGUGCGUAACGCGUGGGAACCUGCCCUUAGGUUCGGAAUAACUCCCCGAAAGGGGUGCUAAUACCGGAUAAUGUCUUCGGACCAAAGAUCUAUGGCCUUUGGAUGGGCCCGCGUUGGAUUAGCUAGUUGGUAGGGUAAAAGCCUACCAAGGCGACGAUCCAUAGCUGGUCUGAGAGGAUGAUUAGCGACACUGGGACUGAGACACGGCCCAGACUCCUACGGGAGGCAGAAGUGGGGAAUAUUGGACAAUGGGCGAAAGACUGAUCCAGCAAUGCCGCGUGAGAGAUGAAUGCAUGAGGGUUGUAAGGCGCUUUUAACCGGGAUGAUAAUGACAGUACCGGGAGAAUAAGCUACGGCUAACUCCGUG